RNAcentral lists this ribosomal RNA (458 nucleotides) under uncultured Anaerolineaceae bacterium. RNAcentral's name for it is "bacterial SSU rRNA". It matches the Rfam family "Bacterial small subunit ribosomal RNA", at positions 908 to 1382 of the family's 1533-position model. The record is from RNAcentral. Lineage: Bacteria; Bacillati; Chloroflexota; Anaerolineae; Anaerolineales; Anaerolineaceae.
AAUUGACGGGGACCCGCACAAGCAGCGGAGCGUGUGGUUUAAUUCGUUGCUACACGAAGACCUUACCUGGGUUUGACAUAUAGGUUGUAGGGAACUGAAAGGGACCGACCCUUCGGGGAGCCUAUACAGGUGUUGCAUGGCUGUCGUCAGCUCGUGUCGUGAGAUGUUCGGUUAAGUCCGCUAACGAGCGCAACCCUCGUCGUAUGUUAUAUGUGUCAUACGAGACUGCCGGUAAAAGCCGGAGGAAGGUGAGGAUGAUGUCAAGUCAGCAUGACCUUUAUAUCCAGGGCUACACACACGCUACAAUGGUCUGUACAAUGGGUAGCCAAGCCGCGAGGCGGAGCCAAUCCUGAAAGCAGGCCUCAGUUCAGAUUGCAGUCUGCAACUCGACUGCAUGAAGCCGGAGUUGCUAGUAACCGCAGGUCAGCAAUACUGCGGUGAAUACGUUCCCGGGUCUU